RNAcentral lists this non-coding RNA (32 nucleotides) under Geobacter sulfurreducens PCA. Lineage: Bacteria; Pseudomonadati; Thermodesulfobacteriota; Desulfuromonadia; Geobacterales; Geobacteraceae. The record is from RNAcentral.
CCGUUACGCCGACCGCCGAGUUUCGGCAAAAU